UACGUAGGGAGCUAGCGUUGUCCGGAAUCAUUGGGCGUAAAGCGCGCGCAGGCGGUCCUUUAAGUCUGAUGUGAAAGCCCACGGCUCAACCGUGGAGGGUCAUUGGAAACUGGGGGACUUGAGUGUAGAAGAGGAAAGCGGAAUUCCACGUGUAGCGGUGAAAUGCGUAGAGAUGUGGAGGAACACCAGUGGCGAAGGCGGCUCUCUGGGACGGUACUGACGCUGAGACGCGAAAGCGUGGGGAGCGAACAGG
RNAcentral lists this ribosomal RNA (253 nucleotides) under uncultured bacterium. RNAcentral's name for it is "partial 16S ribosomal RNA". It matches the Rfam family "Bacterial small subunit ribosomal RNA", at positions 524 to 776 of the family's 1533-position model. The record is from RNAcentral.